ACGGCUCAGUAACACGUAGUCAACCUGCCCUUGGGCCGAGAAUAAUCUCGGGAAACUGAGGCUAAUGAACGAUAGGUCAAGACUCCUGGAAUGGGUUUUGGUCUAAAUGGCGUGACAGCAUCUUGUCAUGUCCGCCCAAGGAUGGGACUGCGGCCGAUCAGGCUGUUGGUGGGGUAAAGGCCCACCAAACCAGUAACCGGUACGGGCUUUGAGAGAAGGAGCCCGGAGAUGGACACUGAGACAAGGGUCCAGGUCCUACGGGGCGCAGCAGGCGCGAAACCUUCGCAAUGCGCGCAAGCGCGACGAGGUUAUUCCGAGUGAUUUCCGCUGAGGAAAUCUUUUCUUAGAUCUAAAAAGUCUGGGGAAUAAGGGGAGGGCAAGUCUGGUGUCAGCCGCCGCGGUAAUACCAGCUCCUCGAGUGGUCAGGGCGUUUAUUGGGCCUAAAGCAUCCGUAGCCUGCUUGGUAGGUCUCCUGUUAAAUCCAACGGCUCAACCGUUGGUCUGCAGGAGAUACGGCGGACGGUACUCCGAGGGUAGGGGUAAAAUCCUUUGAUCCCCGGAAGACCACCAGUGGCGAAGGCGGUCCGCCAGAACGCGCUCGACGGUGAGGGAUGAAAGCUGGGGGAGCGAACCGGAUUAGAUAC
RNAcentral lists this ribosomal RNA (644 nucleotides) under uncultured archaeon. RNAcentral's name for it is "bacterial SSU rRNA". It matches the Rfam family "Archaeal small subunit ribosomal RNA", at positions 85 to 736 of the family's 1478-position model. The record is from RNAcentral.